AUACUUCCCCGGCAGGGGAGAGACAUGAUCACGAAGGCGAGCCUCAUCCAUUGCACUCCAGAUGUGCUGACCCCUGAGAUUCCCCCAAAUGUGGGAAACUCGACUGCCUAAUUUCUGGUAGUGGGAGACUGCAUUUGUACUUUUCCCAG
Molecule: small nuclear RNA, 149 nt
Filed under: Dasypus novemcinctus (nine-banded armadillo)
Lineage: Eukaryota; Metazoa; Chordata; Mammalia; Cingulata; Dasypodidae
Description: U1 spliceosomal RNA (ENSDNOG00000027268.1)
Rfam family: U1 spliceosomal RNA
About the family: U1 is a small nuclear RNA (snRNA) component of the spliceosome (involved in pre-mRNA splicing). Its 5' end forms complementary base pairs with the 5' splice junction, thus defining the 5' donor site of an intron.
Source: RNAcentral